This 26-nucleotide non-coding RNA is filed under the name Mus musculus (house mouse). The record is from RNAcentral. Lineage: Eukaryota; Metazoa; Chordata; Mammalia; Rodentia; Muridae.
UCAGCACCAACGGUGGGUAAUGAAGG